GGUAUAUACGUGGAACCAUCCCCUUCGACAUACUGAACAUAGGUUGAGUGAGAGACUGACUCGGACCCCACCGCCUCACCGUCACCAGACACUAGAACAAAGAAGACAUAGCUGAGUUGUAGAUUAUUUGGACUAGAAGGAUCAGAACUUGUCACAACAGUAAUAAGUUGCUGGCCUCUGGCUGACUGAGUUUGUGCUCCACUGCCACCACCACUGGAACUGGAAGUAGUCACGACAACCACGCUUGGCUUAGAUUCCACCCCUACUGGUGUGGAGCUACCCCCACUGUUAUUAGCUCCGGUGGAUGCUGCGAGGGCAUACUGGGCUCCAGUCGUAGUCAUGGCAAUCACUCCUUCACCUCUCUCUGCACCCACUGAGUCACCACCACCGCUGCUACCUCCCCGCUUCUGGAGAGACGAGUCUAUAACAGAGAUACAUACAUACACCAUCUCACUUAAUAUCAAUAACAUCCACCAUCAGACCCAGCGGUGUGGCGUAUUCAAUAAUCCACAGAUCAAAGGGAAGCCCCGGCGAAGUCGCGAUACGAAUAAUACACGUCACUGCCAUUAUUACGCGCGUGUGUCAUGGUGUAUUGGCAGCGUGUACCUGUUGGGGUGGCAGGUACCAAACACAAUGUAUCAAGGGGAAGAAAUGAGCUAGGAGGGUAAGAGGGGUGAGGAGGUAUAAGCACCCCCAAACGCGCGCUCUACACGCGUGACCGGACUCGCUUUAAGCUAGGAUUCGCUUUAAGAGGGUUGAACAUAUCAAUGAAAGUAGUUCGCAUCGCGAAAGCAAUUAGAAAGCAUUAUCCUGAGCACAGGAUCCUGACUCUUUUUACUCGGAAUGAAGCGGAAACUAAUAAGCGAUAUACACUUCCGCAUAAGCAGGUUUUGCGAGAAAAAAAUAGCUUGUAUGAUUCUCUCCCUUUGUUAUGCUAUAUUCUUUAUAAAAAAAAUACUAUAUUCUUUAAAAAUUGUAUAAUAAAAUAAAUAUAUAUAUAAUGUAUUGUACUAUGUGCCUUUGAGCUAUAAUACAAAUAAUAUCAUAAAAUAUGCAGGAAUAUCUGUUAUAUUUUGAUAAGAAAAUCAUAACGUAAGUUGAUAUUACUGAGCAGGAGGAUUGUGUAACAAGAUCUGAUACUUUUUGUUUUGAUAUUUUAUCUGGUUAGUGUAGAACCUAGAAGGGGAAAAAAGAGA
Odontomachus brunneus is the source of this 1196-nucleotide long non-coding RNA. RefSeq lists it as uncharacterized. The transcript has 3 exons. The record is from RefSeq and is a predicted model, not a curated record. Lineage: Eukaryota; Metazoa; Arthropoda; Insecta; Hymenoptera; Formicidae.